UUUUAAUUGUGCAUGGUCAGAAUUAGUGGCGAACCCAUGUCUUGUUAGGGGAAAAAACAGGCAAAGCUCACCUUGUCUCGACUAAUAGGGAUCACCUAUGUAAAAAAAACACGUAAAUCUAAUAUGUAGCACAUUGUUUACAUGUUAUUAGAAUUAAUAGAUUGUCACGUUAGACAUUGUUGGAUAUAAUAGGAUCACGUAUAUCACGUAUGGAGUUAGAUCUUAUAGAAGAUAUUUUUCUUAUUUAUCCUAUUUUCAAAAUUAAAAAUGUAUAAAUAAACAUUUUGUAAUAGCCUAAUAGGUGAUCAUGUCCAUCGAGAUCUCACUAUAUUGAUGAUCAAUGGUCACUUUGGAGUACCGCAACAAUGCACAACUUAUAUACAUGGCCAUCAUCAGGAACAAAGGGGCAUCGAUGAACAGAAUAUAAGAAUACAUCUCCUCCCCUAUGCUGUUAUUAUUGCUCCUCCUCUAGAUUACCUUGUCCUGCAAUCCAUUCUCCGAUCCUUGGUUCCUAUCCCGAAC
Molecule: long non-coding RNA, 522 nt
Filed under: Setaria viridis
Lineage: Eukaryota; Viridiplantae; Streptophyta; Magnoliopsida; Poales; Poaceae
Description: long non-coding RNA (SVIR_LNC000826)
Source: RNAcentral